This 64-nucleotide transfer RNA is filed under the name Metaphire californica. RNAcentral's name for it is "tRNA-VAL". The record is from RNAcentral. Lineage: Eukaryota; Metazoa; Annelida; Clitellata; Crassiclitellata; Megascolecidae.
CGGGGUAUAGCAUAUAUAAUGCUUUUUACUUACACUAAAAAUAAAGUUAAACUACUUGCUCCGC